UCACCGGCCGGACACUGUUAGGAUGGACAGAUUGACAGCUCUUUCUUGAUUCGGUGGGUGGUGGUGCAUGGCCGUUCUUAGUUGGUGGAGUGAUUUGUCUGGUUAAUUCCGAUAACGAACGAGACUCUAGCCUACUAAAUAGUCGCNNNAUUAUUCUGGCUGCGGAACUUCUUAGAAGGA
Molecule: ribosomal RNA, 180 nt
Filed under: uncultured marine eukaryote
Lineage: Eukaryota
Description: partial 18S ribosomal RNA
Rfam family: Eukaryotic small subunit ribosomal RNA
Source: RNAcentral